This 460-nucleotide ribosomal RNA is filed under the name uncultured bacterium. Its description in RNAcentral is "partial 16S ribosomal RNA". It matches the Rfam family "Bacterial small subunit ribosomal RNA", at positions 338 to 795 of the family's 1533-position model. The record is from RNAcentral.
CCUACGGGAGGCAGCAGUGAGGAAUAUUGGUCAAUGGCCGUAAGGCUGAACAAGCCAAGUCGCGUGAAGGAAGAAGGAACUAUGGUUUGUAAACUUCUUUUAUAGGGGAAUAAAGGUAUCCACGUGUGGAUAUUUGCAUGUACCCUAUGAAUAAGCAUCGGCUAACUCCGUGCCAGCAGCCGCGGUAAUACGGAGGAUGCGAGCGUUAUCCGGAUUUAUUGGGUUUAAAGGGUGCGUAGGUUGUUUUUUAAGUCAGCGGUGAAAGUUUGUGGCUCAACCAUAAAAUUGCCGUUGAAACUGGAAGACUUGAGUGUGUUUGAGGUAGGCGGAAUGCGUGGUGUAGCGGUGAAAUGCAUAGAUAUCACGCAGAACUCCGAUUGCGAAGGCAGCUUACUAAGCCAUAACUGACACUGAAGCACGAAAGCGUGGGGAUCGAACAGGAUUAGAUACCCCAGUAGUC